This 1200-nucleotide ribosomal RNA is filed under the name Acinetobacter calcoaceticus. RNAcentral's name for it is "partial 16S ribosomal RNA". It matches the Rfam family "Bacterial small subunit ribosomal RNA", at positions 59 to 1279 of the family's 1533-position model. Lineage: Bacteria; Pseudomonadati; Pseudomonadota; Gammaproteobacteria; Moraxellales; Moraxellaceae. The record is from RNAcentral. RNAcentral also lists the same sequence under 1 other name.
AAGCUGCAUGCGAAAGUGUGCUCGUGCUACUUUGACCUAGCGGCGGACGGGUGAGUAAUGCUUAGGAAUCUGCCUAUUAGUGGGGGACAACAUCUCGAAAGGGAUGCUAAUACCGCAUACGUCCUACGGGAGAAAGCAGGGGAUCUUCGGACCUUGCGCUAAUAGAUGAGCCUAAGUCGGAUUAGCUAGUUGGUGGGGUAAAGGCCUACCAAGGCGACGAUCUGUAGCGGGUCUGAGAGGAUGAUCCGCCACACUGGGACUGAGACACGGCCCAGACUCCUACGGGAGGCAGCAGUGGGGAAUAUUGGACAAUGGGCGCAAGCCUGAUCCAGCCAUGCCGCGUGUGUGAAGAAGGCCUUAUGGUUGUAAAGCACUUUAAGCGAGGAGGAGGCUACUUUAGAUAAUACCUAGAGAUAGUGGACGUUACUCGCAGAAUAAGCACCGGCUAACUCUGUGCCAGCAGCCGCGGUAAUACAGAGGGUGCAAGCGUUAAUCGGAUUUACUGGGCGUAAAGCGCGCGUAGGCGGCUAAUUAAGUCAAAUGUGAAAUCCCCGAGCUUAACUUGGGAAUUGCAUUCGAUACUGGUUAGCUAGAGUGUGGGAGAGGAUGGUAGAAUUCCAGGUGUAGCGGUGAAAUGCGUAGAGAUCUGGAGGAAUACCGAUGGCGAAGGCAGCCAUCUGGCCUAACACUGACGCUGAGGUGCGAAAGCAUGGGGAGCAAACAGGAUUAGAUACCCUGGUAGUCCAUGCCGUAAACGAUGUCUACUAGCCGUUGGGGCCUUUGAGGCUUUAGUGGCGCAGCUAACGCGAUAAGUAGACCGCCUGGGGAGUACGGUCGCAGCACUAAAACUCAAAUGAGUUGACGGGGGCCCGCACAAGCGGUGGAGCAUGUGGUUUAUUCGAUGCAACACGAAAACCUUACCUGGCCUUGACUAUUAAGACUUUCGAGAGAUGAAUAGUGCCUUCGGGACUUACAUAAAGAGCUGCAUGGCUGUCAGUAGCUCAUGUCAGAAGAUGUCCGCUAAGUCCAGUGGAUCACAACAAUUUCCUCAUUGCAGCGAGUAUGUCGGGAACUUAAGGAUACUGCCAUUGACAACUGUACGCAGCCGCGACGACGUGAGUCUCAGGCCGUACGUCAGGCCUGCCCGUGCACAUCGUCCGAUACAUGGAUGGUUCCUCGCAGUGUGUGCUUAUUUCCCAA